This 388-nucleotide ribosomal RNA is filed under the name Echinodermata sp. Its description in RNAcentral is "partial small subunit ribosomal RNA". It matches the Rfam family "Eukaryotic small subunit ribosomal RNA", at positions 582 to 975 of the family's 1831-position model. The record is from RNAcentral. Lineage: Eukaryota; Metazoa; Echinodermata.
AUUCCAGCUCCAGUAGCGUAUAUUAAAGCUGUUGCAGUUAAAAAGCUCGUAGUUGGAUCUUGGGCCCAGGCCUGCGGUCCGCCGUGAGGCGAGUACUGCAGUCCUGGCCUUCCUCUCGGUUUUCGCCCGGUGCUCUUAACUGAGUGCCAGGAGAGGCCGGAACGUUUACUUUGAAAAAAUUGGAGUGUUCAAAGCAGGCCUCGCGCCUGAACAGCAGAGCAUGGAAUAAUGGAAUAGGACCUCGGUUCUAUUGCGUUGGUUUUCGGAACUCGAGGUAAUGAUUAAGAGGGACUGACGGGGGCAUUCGUAUUGCGGUGUGAGAGGUGAAAUUCUUGGAUCGCCGCAAGACGACCGACUGCGAAAGCAUUUGCCAAGAAUGUUUUCAUCG